GACGAACGCUGGCGGCGUGCUUAACACAUGCAAGUCGAACGGAAAGGCCCUGCUUGCAGGGUGCUCGAGUGGCGAACGGGUGAGUAACACGUGGGUGAUCUGCCCCUUAUUUUGGGAUAAGCCUGGGAAACUGGGUCUAAUACUGGAUAGGACCAUGCUGUAGGUGGUGUGGUGGAAAGAUUAGUUUCGGUAAGGGAUGAGCUCGCGGCCUAUCAGCUUGUUGGUGGGGUAAUGGCCUACCAAGGCGUCGACGGGUAGCCGGCCUGAGAGGGUGGACGGCGACAUUGGGACUGAGAUACGGCCCAGACUCCUACGGGAGGCAGCAGUGGGGAAUAUUGCACAAUGGGCGCAAGCCUGAUGCAGCGACGCCGCGUGGGGGAUGACGGCGUUCGGGUUGUAAACUCCUUUCAGCCAUGACGAAGCCCUUGUGGUGACGGUAGUGGUAGAAGAAGCACCGGCUAACUACGUG
This 469-nucleotide ribosomal RNA is filed under the name uncultured bacterium. Its description in RNAcentral is "partial 16S ribosomal RNA". It matches the Rfam family "Bacterial small subunit ribosomal RNA", at positions 28 to 507 of the family's 1533-position model. The record is from RNAcentral.